This 442-nucleotide ribosomal RNA is filed under the name uncultured bacterium. RNAcentral describes it as "SSU rRNA". It matches the Rfam family "Bacterial small subunit ribosomal RNA", at positions 26 to 518 of the family's 1533-position model. The record is from RNAcentral.
AGAAUGAACGCUGGCGGCAUGCCUAACACAUGCAAGUCGAACGAAGCCUUCGGGCUUAGUGGCGCACGGGUGCGUAACGCGUGGGAAUCUACCCUUGGGUUCGGAAUAACAGUUAGAAAUGACUGCUAAUACCGAAUGAUGUCGUAAGACCAAAGAUUUAUCGCCCAGGGAUGAGCCCGCGUAGGAUUAGCUAGUUGGUGAGGUAAAAGCUCACCAAGGCGACGAUCCUUAGCUGGUCUGAGAGGAUGAUCAGCCACACUGGGACUGAGACACGGCCCAGACUCCUACGGGAGGCAGCAGUGGGGAAUAUUGGACAAUGGGCGAAAGCCUGAUCCAGCAAUGCCGCGUGAGUGAUGAAGGCCUUAGGGUUGUAAAGCUCUUUACCCGGGAUGAUAAUGACAGUACCGGAGAUAAGCUCGGCUAACUCCGUGCCAGCAGCCGC